GUGAGUAGUUCAGAGUUUGAUCCUGGCUCAGGAUGAACGCUAGCGGCAGGCUUAACACAUGCAAGUCGAGGGGCAGCAUGAGACGGAGAUUCGUCGAAGUCUUGAUGGCGACCGGCGCAAGGGUGCGUAACGCGUGAGCAACUUGCCCGUUUCUGGGGAAUAGCCGGUGGAAACGCCGACUAAUACCCCAUAGCAUUGACUUUGGGCAUCCUUAGUCAAUUAAAGAAUUUCGGAAACGGAUAGGCUCGCGUGGCAUUAGCUGGAUGGCGGGGUAACGGCCCACCAUGGCAACGAUGUCUAGGGGUUCUGAGAGGAAGGUCCCCCACACUGGAACUGAGACACGGUCCAG
Molecule: ribosomal RNA, 349 nt
Filed under: uncultured bacterium
Lineage: Bacteria
Description: bacterial SSU rRNA
Rfam family: Bacterial small subunit ribosomal RNA
Source: RNAcentral